This 336-nucleotide ribosomal RNA is filed under the name Aurantiochytrium limacinum. RNAcentral's name for it is "partial Bacterial small subunit ribosomal RNA". It matches the Rfam family "Bacterial small subunit ribosomal RNA", at positions 1 to 340 of the family's 1533-position model. The record is from RNAcentral. Lineage: Eukaryota; Bigyra; Thraustochytrida; Thraustochytriidae.
AUGGAGAGUUUGAUCCUGGCUCAGGAUGAACGCUGGCGGCGUGCUUAACACAUGCAAGUCGAACGAUGAAGCCCAGCUUGCUGGGUGGAUUAGUGGCGAACGGGUGAGUAACACGUGAGCAAUCUGCCCCUGACUCCGGAAUAACUACGGGAAACUGUAGCUAAUACCGGAUAUGCGCCGAACAGGCAUCUGUAUCGGUGGGAAAGAAUUUCGGUCAGGGAUGAGCUCGCGGCCUAUCAGCUUGUUGGUGGGGUAAUGGCCUACCAAGGCGGCGACGGGUAGCCGGCCUGAGAGGGCGACCGGCCACACUGGGACUGAGACACGGCCCAGACUCCU